GAUGAACGCUGGCGGCGUGCUUAACACAUGCAAGUCGAACGAUGAAGCCCAGCUUGCUGGGCGGAUUAGUGGCGAACGGGUGAGUAACACGUGAGUAACCUGCCCUUGACUCUGGGAUAAGCCCGGGAAACUGGGUCUAAUACCGGAUAGGAGCGCCUGUCGCAUGACGGGUGCUGGAAAGAUCUUUCGGUCAUGGAUGGACUCGCGGCCUAUCAGCUUGUUGGUGAGGUAACGGCUCACCAAGGCGACGACGGGUAGCCGGCCUGAGAGGGUGACCGGCCACACUGGGACUGAGACACGGCCCAGACCCCUACGGGAGACAGCAGUGGGGAAUAUUGCACAAUGGGCGAAAGCCUGAUGCAGCGACGCCGCGUGAGGGAUGACGGCCUUCGGGUUGUAAACCUCUUUCAGCAGGGAAGAAGCGAAAGUGACGGUACCUGCAGAAGAAGCACCGGCUAACUACGUG
Molecule: ribosomal RNA, 466 nt
Filed under: uncultured bacterium
Lineage: Bacteria
Description: partial 16S ribosomal RNA
Rfam family: Bacterial small subunit ribosomal RNA
Source: RNAcentral